This 323-nucleotide ribosomal RNA is filed under the name uncultured eukaryote. Its description in RNAcentral is "partial 18S ribosomal RNA". It matches the Rfam family "Eukaryotic small subunit ribosomal RNA", at positions 1470 to 1796 of the family's 1831-position model. The record is from RNAcentral.
CCCUUAGAUGUUCUGGGCUGCACGCGUGCUACACUGAUAUUGCCAAUAUGUCAUUCUUAUCCGAAAUGGAUUGGGUAAUCAAGUAAUGAAAUUUCAUGCUUGGAAUCGGUAAUUGCAAUUUUAUCGUGAACGAGGAAUUCCUAGUAAGCACUAGUCAUCAGCUAAUGUUGAUUAUGUCCCUGCCCUUUGUACACACCGCCCGUCGCUACUACUGAUUGGGUGUUCAAGUGAGAUGCUUAGACCCUUGUUGCAUGGUUCAUUAUUGUGCUCCGAAAGGAAAAAGUUUCAAGCUUGAGUGUCUAGAGGAAGUAAGAGUCGUAACA